UACAGAGGGGCAAGCGUUAUUCGGAAUUAUUGGGCGUAAAGGGCGCGUAGGCGGGCCUGCCGCGUCCGGGGUGAAAUCCCCCGCUCCAACGGGGGAACGGCCUCGGAUACGGGCGGCCUGGAGGCGGGUAGGGGCACGCGGAACGUGUGGGUGGAGCGGUGAAAUGCGUUGAGAUCCACAGGAACUCCGGUGGCGAAGGCGGCGUGCUGGACCCGUCCUGACGC
This 224-nucleotide ribosomal RNA is filed under the name uncultured bacterium. RNAcentral describes it as "partial 16S ribosomal RNA". It matches the Rfam family "Bacterial small subunit ribosomal RNA", at positions 524 to 746 of the family's 1533-position model. The record is from RNAcentral.